AGCUCAGACACUCCUGGCCUCCCUCUUCCUCUGCAGUAUGUCAUGGAGGAGACAUACAGUAUAGAGAUCUCCAGACUAAUGUCUGUCUCUCACUCUAUCUCUAUCUGCUUGUCUGUCUCUAUCUCUGUCAGACAAUGGAAUUCACUUUAUCCUCACGGCUGGAGUUUCUUGUACUUUUUGCUACUGAGAGCACUACUCACAGGGCAGAGCAACUUUACCUUCUAGAAGAGCUCUCUGCAUUGCAUCUUUUAUCCCAGACUGUUCAGUCUCCAACCCAUCCUGUCCCGGCAGAAGAGAUAAUGAAGCUGUUCCUGUUUGCUGUAGCACUGCUGAGAGCUGAACAGAGGCAUUGCUGAAUGGACAGUGCAUGUCUCUGUGUGUGUGACUGCAUUUGUAUAUUUACGUGUGUCUGGAUAUCCACUUGUAUUUUUGUAUAUGGUCUAAUGUAUAAAUAUGUAUAUACUGUAUGUGCGUGUGUGUUUACCAGGCCCUCAUCUCUUAAGCCCUCCACUGGGUCUGGAUUGGACCAGUCUAAACACACACACCACACACACACACACACUCAUGUACACACACUCCUGCCCCCCUCAAAGCCAUGCUUUUAGAGACGAGGGGCCCUAAAUGCCUUACAGAUGGACUCCUAACAAAACACAACACUCUGUCUCGGCCCUCAAGUAUUCCCAGUAUUUGGCCUUGCUGUAAUUUACAGCAUACUUACCUAAUUGAGAUGCUAUUAAGGUCAGGGCAUGCAUUCUUCUGUGUAUGCCUGGUGCUAAUGCACAUGAUAUAAGCGUGACAUACACAGCACAGUAUAUUUGCCCUAAUAUAGCGGAGUGAAGUUAACCACAGGGUGAGUGUGAUCUAUGGUCCAUGUAGUGUACUUAGGGCAACACAAAUAAUGAUGUGUUGAGCAGAGACGUCUCUGUGCAGGUCUGGAGGGCACAUUAGAGGAUGUUUUCUUCACUAGAUACUGAUGGUUUUACACCCACCAACCUUGUGCAAUUUCCAAAUGCCACUCAGUACUACUUUAAUGACUUCAUUAGGAUGGACUAAAAACUGAACAAUUGCACCCAAACUGCUGAAACUGAUUUUUUUUUCUCAUGUUAAAAAACAUUUUUUUUUAACUUAUUUUCAAAAGUAUUUUAUUUUUAUGUUUCUACUUUUUAACACAGACAUAAAGUCAAGUGAAUCAUGGAAAAAACACCCACAAAUCUGAAGUUAAAACUACAUCAGAUUCUGGUGCUUUUCAUGUUUUACAUAUAACUGUAAAUAUAUUACC
Long non-coding RNA from Lates calcarifer (barramundi perch), 1279 nucleotides. RefSeq lists it as uncharacterized. NCBI's taxonomy places the organism in Eukaryota, Metazoa, Chordata, Actinopteri, Centropomidae. The transcript is spliced from 3 exons. The record is from RefSeq and is a predicted model, not a curated record.